RNAcentral lists this ribosomal RNA (505 nucleotides) under uncultured bacterium. Its description in RNAcentral is "partial 16S ribosomal RNA". It matches the Rfam family "Bacterial small subunit ribosomal RNA", at positions 28 to 507 of the family's 1533-position model. The record is from RNAcentral.
GACGAACGCUGGCGGCGUGCCUAAUACAUGCAAGUAGAACGCACAGUUUAUACCGUAGCUUGCUACACCAUAGACUGUGAGUUGCGAACGGGUGAGUAACGCGUAGGUAACCUGCCUGGUAGCGGGGGAUAACUAUUGGAAACGAUAGCUAAUACCGCAUAAUAUUGAUUAUUGCAUGAUAAUUGAUUGAAAGAUGCUAUUGCAUCACUACCAGAUGGACCUGCGUUGUAUUAGCUAGUAGGUGAGGUAACGGCUCACCUAGGCGACGAUACAUAGCCGACCUGAGAGGGGGAUCAGCCACACUGGGACUGAGACACGGCCCAGACUCCUACGGGAGGCAGCAGUAGGGAAUCUUCGGCAAUGGACGAAAGUCUGACCGAGCAACGCCGCGUGAGUGAAGAAGGUUUUCGGAUCGUAAAGCUCUGUUGUAAGAGAAGAACGGGUGUGAGAGUGGAAAGUUCACACUGUGACGGUAGCUUACCAGAAAGGGACGGCUAACUACGUG